AGCGAACGCUGGCGGCAGGCUUAGCACAUGCAAGUCGAACGGGCAUCUUCGGAUGUCAGUGGCAGACGGGUGAGUAACACGUGGGAACGUACCCUUCGGUUCGGAAUAACUCAGGGAAACUUGAGCUAAUACCGGAUACGCCCUUUUGGGGAAAGGUUUACUGCCGAAGGAUCGGCCCGCGUCUGAUUAGCUUGUUGGUGGGGUAACGGCCUACCAAGGCGACGAUCAGUAGCUGGUCUGAGAGGAUGAUCAGCCACACUGGGACUGAGACACGGCCCAGACUCCUACGGGAGGCAGCAGUGGGGAAUAUUGGACAAUGGGCGCAAGCCUGAUCCAGCCAUGCCGCGUGAGUGAUGAAGGCCUUAGGGUUGUAAAGCUCUUUUGUCCGGGACGAUAAUGACGGUACCGGAAGAAUAAGCCCCGGCUAACUUCGUG
RNAcentral lists this ribosomal RNA (435 nucleotides) under uncultured bacterium. Its description in RNAcentral is "partial 16S ribosomal RNA". It matches the Rfam family "Bacterial small subunit ribosomal RNA", at positions 29 to 507 of the family's 1533-position model. The record is from RNAcentral.